UAGGAGACCAACUCUUUUGGUCAGCAGUAUACAACUUGAUGGUGUGGAGAGAUUCAGACUAUUCCAAUUAGUCUUACAAACACAUUGCUGUCAAUUCUGCAGAUCAUUCGUCUGCAGGACAGUCUGCAGGACAGUCUGCAGGACAGCCUGGUUUGAUGACGGGAACGUGACCAGCCAGGGGGACUCUGAGCUGUUCACAGACCUGCAAAGGAGGCACUGGGAGGGAGCGUGUGCUAGCCCCAUUGACAUGGAGGCCCAAACCGUGUCUGGCAUUAAGUUACUAUACACCAAUAACUUCUUCCACAGGUCAGGUUACUAAAGAGGGCGAUGUGGAGUCCAUUCCCCAGCUGCUGAACACCUUCCCUGGACAGGUGUGUCAGACUCCCAUCAGUCUUUAGGCCCAGACCACCUAUGGCAUCUCUGCUAAGCACACUGGAGAAACCUUCCUCUCGUAUGACGCUACCCAUGGCUUUGCCUGUGUGAAUGCGGAGCAGCCAGGAGGCAGGUGCUGUGCUAACCCUAACCCUACAAGGUCUGCUUUACCUGUCCUCUUAACUUCUGUUCAGUAAACAACGGGUCAACAUAAGGCCUGUUUAUGCACCAAAGCACACAUUUAUUCAGAAUUCCCUGCGGUUGAUUUGUACAUGUGCAAUAAAGGAUCAAAACGUAACCUGGACCCUAGAUCUGGGAAGUGAAAUACAUUUUCUAGAUUUUGCGUCCAGUUCAACACAUUCAACUUUCUGUGUUUACUGUAUGAUUUGAAUUCAUUAAUAAAGGAAACAGAAAUUC
Hypomesus transpacificus is the source of this 789-nucleotide long non-coding RNA. RefSeq lists it as uncharacterized. The record is from RefSeq and is a predicted model, not a curated record. The transcript has 4 exons. Lineage: Eukaryota; Metazoa; Chordata; Actinopteri; Osmeriformes; Osmeridae.